GACGGGACCCGCACAAGCGGUGGAUGAUGUGGAUUAAUUCGAUGCAACGCGAAAACCUUACCUACCCUUGACAUGUCCGGAAUCCCGAAGAGAUUUGGGAGUUGCUCGCAAGAGAGCCGGAACACAGGUGCUGCAUGGCUGUCGUCAGCUCGUGUCGUGAGAUGUUGGGUUAAGUCCCCGCAACGAGCGCAACCCUUGUCAUUAGUUGCCAUCAUUUGGUUGGGCACUCUAAUGAGACUGCCGGUGACAAACCGGAGGAAGGUGGGGAUGACGUCAAGUCCUCAUGGCCCUUAUGGGUAGGGCUUCACACGUCAUACAAUGGUCGGUACAGAGGGUUGCCAACCCGCGAGGGGGAGCUAAUCCCACAAAGCCGAUCGUAGUCCGGAUCGCAGUCUGCAACUCGACUGCGUGAAGUCGGAAUCGCUAGUAAUCGUGGAUCAGCAUGUCACGGUGAAUACGUUCCCGGGUCUU
This 471-nucleotide ribosomal RNA is filed under the name uncultured Rhodocyclaceae bacterium. RNAcentral's name for it is "bacterial SSU rRNA". It matches the Rfam family "Bacterial small subunit ribosomal RNA", at positions 916 to 1381 of the family's 1533-position model. The record is from RNAcentral. Lineage: Bacteria; Pseudomonadati; Pseudomonadota; Betaproteobacteria; Rhodocyclales; Rhodocyclaceae.